Culex pipiens pallens (northern house mosquito) is the source of this 525-nucleotide long non-coding RNA. RefSeq lists it as uncharacterized. The record is from RefSeq and is a predicted model, not a curated record. The transcript has 3 exons. Lineage: Eukaryota; Metazoa; Arthropoda; Insecta; Diptera; Culicidae.
AAACGCGCAAAGUCAAGGAAUAUAGAUCUCGACUGAACGUCGCAAUAACACUGUCAUGUUUAGUGAGAGGUGGUUGUAGAGUAAACCAAGCAUCACUAUUUGUAGUGGUGAGAUAUUUGAAACCGGUGUCAAUAGUGUUUAUAGUAGCAUACGAAUGAUCUUAAAUUUUGAUAAAAUAGUGACGUGUAUUAUUUUUGUUUAUUCAGCGUUUUACUUCCAUUGUCAUUCGCUGUAUUAAAUGUUUGUUGGUUUUUUAACCAAUUGAUUACUAUGACCGAAUCUAAAUAACGCAACCUAAUUUGUAAACAAUGCACUAAAGGCAAUGUUUAUGUUUUUAAACAUGGCAACAUGCGUUAUGUAAACCACCCGAAAUAUGUUGUCACUAAUACAAUCAUCGAUGCUACCGGAUCGUUUGUAAACAGAUUCCCAAAAAAAGAAGAGAAGAGAAAAUAAGAGAGACAGUUUGAUGGCCGACCGUAACAGAAUCAUUUCAUCACUUCUCAGCUGCCCAAGAGUUGUCACCAA